Molecule: ribosomal RNA, 546 nt
Filed under: Triticum aestivum (bread wheat)
Lineage: Eukaryota; Viridiplantae; Streptophyta; Magnoliopsida; Poales; Poaceae
Description: partial small subunit ribosomal RNA
Source: RNAcentral
AUGUCGGUUCCACUAUUGGCAACCGCUCUUUGUAACCGCCUUUGUAUCCGGGUAUAUAUACCCACAAACUUCAUCAAUGAAAGUAACUGUUUCAUCAUUUGCUCCUCUCUCUCGUUUUACUUUCACACGUUAUCAGCACUUUGCCCUAACCGAGAUCGAUUAAGCCAACGACAAGAAAAGACGGGCAGCGCAGCGGCGCUUGCGCAUCUAGGGCAUCGUGCGACUCUCGGCCGUGGGCUGCACCGGCGCUAUCCGGCGUUUUGCGGUGAAGCAUCAAACCCCAACGCGGAUGGCGACAUCAGUCACGGUGGCGCUCGCGUCUGCCAUUUGCGCCUGUACGCGCAGCGUCGACUCGCAUCCUCGCGACCUCGAACUCAAGGCGUGGCCCUCGAUGGCGCUCGGCGAGACAUCGGCAGAGAAAAAGAUGAACAAAUAGAAAGAAGGAACAUGAGAAUUGGCACCCACGAUCGAUGGAUUGAAAAUCCAAACCAAGAAACGGAAGCACCCACAUGGUAUUUCUUUAGUUCGUCAUGUUCAUACCUCUAA